Molecule: non-coding RNA, 435 nt
Organism: Arachis ipaensis
Lineage: Eukaryota; Viridiplantae; Streptophyta; Magnoliopsida; Fabales; Fabaceae
Source: RefSeq, a predicted model, not a curated record
ACACUGCUGUAAUCCCUCUUCUCUGGUCGCCGUCGUCGUGUUCCUCCCUGCUGGAGUUGGGGCCUUGUUCUUUUUGCUCUGCUUCGCUGUCUUUAUCUGCUCGCGCCAUUCUGAAACCUUUGCUCUACUCCGCCGUGGUGCCAUGCUCUGUCCUCUCAGGCAAAUCGACAACUCUCCGCCGUCCACGUCUUUCUCUCAAGCCUCUCGCAUCACACUCGAUCCUUAGGCUAAAAAUGUGACUUGGAGGAGAAACUUAAGGGUCUCCAACAUGAGGUUCAUGCUGCUCAGCUAGAUUGGGGAAGGUUAAGCUUUAAUUGUGAUAUUUCGUAUUUAUGUUUUACCUAGAUUUGGGAAACUUUUCUCCCUUAUAAUUCGUUAUUGAUCCAGGUUAAAGGAGAAAGAGACUAAGUUGAUAAACAACGUAAAUUUGCAGCC